This 510-nucleotide ribosomal RNA is filed under the name uncultured bacterium. RNAcentral describes it as "partial 16S ribosomal RNA". It matches the Rfam family "Bacterial small subunit ribosomal RNA", at positions 28 to 507 of the family's 1533-position model. The record is from RNAcentral.
GACGAACGCUGGCGGCGUGCUUAACACAUGCAAGUCGAACGAAGAGCGAUGGAAGCUUGCUUCUAUCAAUCUUAGUGGCGAACGGGUGAGUAACGCGUAAUCAACCUGCCCUUCAGAGGGGGACAACAGUUGGAAACGACUGCUAAUGCCGCAUACGAUCUAAUCUCGGCAUCGAGGAUAGAUGAAAGGUGGCCUCUACAUGUAAGCUAUCACUGAAGGAGGGGAUUGCGUCUGAUUAGCUAGUUGGAGGGGUAACGGCCCACCAAGGCGAUGAUCAGUAGCCGGUCUGAGAGGAUGAACGGCCACAUUGGGACUGAGACACGGCCCAGACUCCUACGGGAGGCAGCAGUGGGGAAUCUUCCGCAACGGACGAAAGUCUGACGGAGCAACGCCGCGUGAGUGAUGACGGCCUUCGGGUUGUAAAGCUCUGUUAAUCGGGACGAAAGGCCUUCUUGCGAAUAGUGAGAAGGAUUGACGGUACCGGAAUAGAAAGCCACGGCUAACUACGUG